AUUGAACGCUGGCGGCAUGCUUUACACAUGCAAGUCGAACGGCAGCGCGGGCUUCGGCCUGGCGGCGAGUGGCGAACGGGUGAGUAAUGCAUCGGAACUUGCCCAGUAGUGGGGGAUAGCACGGCGAAAGCCGGAUUAAUACCGCAUACGACCUGAGGGUGAAAGCGGGGGACCGAAAGGCCUCGCGCUAUUGGAGCGGCCGAUGUCGGAUUAGCCAGUUGGUGGGGUAAAGGCUUACCAAGGCGACGAUCCGUAGCUGGUCUGAGAGGACGAACAGCCACACUGGGACUGAGACACGGCCCAGACUCCUCCGGGAGGCAGCAGUGGGGAAUUUUGGACAAUGGGGGCAACCCUGAUCCAGCCAUGCCGCGUGCGGGAAGAAGGCCUUCGGGUUGUAAACCGCUUUUGUUCGGGAAGAAAUCCUCUGGGCUAAUACCCCGGGGGGAUGACGGUACCGGAAGAAUAAGCACCGGCUAACUACGUG
RNAcentral lists this ribosomal RNA (484 nucleotides) under uncultured bacterium. Its description in RNAcentral is "partial 16S ribosomal RNA". It matches the Rfam family "Bacterial small subunit ribosomal RNA", at positions 29 to 507 of the family's 1533-position model. The record is from RNAcentral.